RNAcentral lists this long non-coding RNA (339 nucleotides) under Homo sapiens (human). Its description in RNAcentral is "non-protein coding lnc-NEK5-3:1". The record is from RNAcentral. Lineage: Eukaryota; Metazoa; Chordata; Mammalia; Primates; Hominidae.
UAUAUUGUGAUGGAAUACUGUGAUGGAGGGGAUCUAAUGCAAAAGAUUAAACAGCAGAAAGGAAAGUUAUUUCCUGAAGACAUAUACUUAAUUGGUUUACCCAAAUGUGCCUUGGAGUAAAUCACAUUCACAAGAAACGUGUGCUACACAGAGAUAUCAAGUCCAAAAUAUCUUCCUCACUCAGAAUGGAAAAGUGAAAUUGGGAGACUUUGGAUCUGCCCGUCUUCUCUCCAUCCGAUGGCAUUUGCUUGUACCUAUGUGGGAACUCCUUAUUAUGUGCCUCCAGAAAUUUGGGAAAACCUGCCUUAUAACAAUAAAAGGUGAGUGCUGCAUAUUUGA